UUGUUUUGGCAUGAUGAAAGACAGAUUGUUUAUGUCUUAAUUUUUUUAAUGGUUAUAGGUAUAUAUAUAUACUUGUUUUGCACAUUAUCUUAUGGAUUCAAGAAAAUUGAGCAGCUAAUAUAUUCAAUUAAUGUAGGAAUUUAUUGCAAAAGCAAUCACUCUUCGGGGUGAAGGUGAAAUUAUGAACAUGAUGGAAGUAGCCGACCCUGCUGCAGUCAGUGCAUGCCGCUCGAUUAUUUAUUAGAAAGCAGCUUGCUUCUGAAUUGAAGCAAGAGUUUUUACAUCUGGUGAAAGAGAAUAGGAGCUCGGAGAAGUAUGAGUUCAAUCAGACAAAUAUGGUAAGACGUGCUUUAAAGAACACUGCCCUUGCUUAUCUUGCAUCACUUGAAGAUCAAGAAAUCACCGAGAUUGUGUUGCAUGAAUACAAAACUGCCACAAAUAUGACAGAUCAGUUUUCAGCUCUGGCCGCCAUUGCCCAGUAACCGGGUAAAGCCCGAGAUGAUGCUUUGGAAGAUAUCUACAACCAAUGGCAGAAUGACUACUUGGAGGUUAACAAGUGGUUUGCGCUUCAAUUAUCAUCGGAUAUUCCCGGGAAUGUGGAGAAUGUUUAGAAACUUUUGAGCCAUCAAGCAUUUGAUCUUCAAGAUCCCAACAAGAUACAAAUACUAUGAUAUGUUUUUGGCACUGUCACAUUGUGUACUAAAGGAAAGGAGAUCAUUACAAUGUCUUAAUGCAUUGUGUAUCGACGCUUUUUAGUUGUUGAUUCGUUUCUGCGCCAUCUUACUGCGGGCAAACUGUUCGAGUUGAAAAAAGGAGCUAGAAAACAAAAGCAAUUGAAGAUGCUUCCCCCAAGUUACAAACAUAUUUCGACAGACUAAUUCAGGUAUUUGAUGGACAUGGUGUUGAUGCUGCUUCAUUUACAAAAAGAAACAUUCUUGAGUUUAUCGUUUGAGGACUCUAAUUUCCCGAAUGGGGUAGAGAAAGCCGUUAAAAAUGCUUUUGUCAAAGCUGCUCAUGCAAGUGGAUGGUGAUCUAGAAUGGCAUAUGGAGUACGAGUAUUAUAUUUGUUUGCUGCAAGUGGGAUGAUUUAGAAAUUUUGUGGUGAUCUAGAAUGGCAUAUGGAGUACUAUAUCUGUUCAUUAUAUGGCCUUUAAAAUGGUUUUUUAGUUUUUAAACGAGUGACUUUUAAUUUGUGUAAAUAAUUGUCAAUUCUCAAAUGAAUAUAUUUGUUUUGUAACCUGGGAAGUUAUAACUUUUAUAUGAUAUUCUUAAUGUUUUAUCA
This is a long non-coding RNA of Erigeron canadensis, 1282 nucleotides long. RefSeq lists it as uncharacterized. The record is from RefSeq and is a predicted model, not a curated record. The transcript has 6 exons. Lineage: Eukaryota; Viridiplantae; Streptophyta; Magnoliopsida; Asterales; Asteraceae.